Molecule: unclassified non-coding RNA, 244 nt
Filed under: plant metagenome
Description: partial contains small subunit ribosomal RNA, internal transcribed spacer 1, and 5.8S ribosomal RNA
Source: RNAcentral
UCUCCGUUGGUGAACCAGCGGAGGGAUCAUUACCGAGUUUACGACUCCCAAACCCAAUGUGAACCAUACCCAACUGUUGCCUCGGCGGGGUCACGCCCCGGGUGCGUCGCAGCCCCGGAACCAGGCGCCCGCCGGAGGGACCAACCAAACUCUUUCUGUAGUCCCCUCGCGGACGUUAUUUUUACAGCUCUGAGCAAAAAUUCAAAAUGAAUCAAAACUUUCAACAACGGAUCUCUUGGCUCUG